Molecule: long non-coding RNA, 208 nt
Filed under: Gossypium raimondii (Peruvian cotton)
Lineage: Eukaryota; Viridiplantae; Streptophyta; Magnoliopsida; Malvales; Malvaceae
Description: long non-coding RNA (GRAI_LNC006256)
Source: RNAcentral
AAAUUUCGAUUCCAUGUUUUCAAAGGCCUUUAUCAUUUGAUCUUUAAUUGUUGCACCAAUUCAGAGUUUCACCUUGAGUAACAUCAUUUGCCUUACCCGAUCACUGGGUCCGAGCUACAGGAUGUCACAUUCGUUGCUAGAGCAAUGAUAGUCAAAUACGCGGUAAGUAAUCAUCUACACAUGUAAUUAAGUUUCAAUCACAUCCAAG